Molecule: ribosomal RNA, 549 nt
Rfam family: 5.8S ribosomal RNA (bases 183-336)
UCUCCGUUGGUGAACCAGCGGAGGGAUCAUUACCGAGUUAUACAACUCAUCAACCCUGUGAACAUACCUAAACGUUGCUUCGGCGGGAAUAGACGGCCCCGUAAAACGGGCCGCCCCCGCCAGAGGACCCCUAACUCUGUUUCUAUAAUGUUUCUUCUGAGUAAAACAAGCAAAUAAAUUAAAACUUUCAACAACGGAUCUCUUGGCUCUGGCAUCGAUGAAGAACGCAGCGAAAUGCGAUAAGUAAUGUGAAUUGCAGAAUUCAGUGAAUCAUCGAAUCUUUGAACGCACAUUGCGCCCGCCAGUAUUCUGGCGGGCAUGCCUGUUCGAGCGUCAUUACAACCCUCAGGCCCCCGGGCCUGGCGUUGGGGAUCGGCGGAGCCCCCCCGUGGGCACACGCCGUCCCCCAAAUACAGUGGCGGUCCCGCCGCAGCUUCCAUCGCGUAGUAGCUAACACCUCGCGACUGGAGAGCGGCGCGGCCACGCCGUAAAACACCCAACUCUUCUGAAGUUGACCUCGAAUCAGGUAGGAAUACCCGCUGAACUUAA